GUGGGGAAUCUUGCGCAAUGGGCGAAAGCCUGACGCAGCCAUGCCGCGUGAAUGAUGAAGGUCUUAGGAUUGUAAAAUUCUUUCACCGGGGAUGAUAAUGACGGUACCCGGAGAAGAAGCUCCGGCUAACUUCGUGCCAGCAGCCGCGGUAAUACGAAGGGGGCUAGCGUUGCUCGGAAUUACUGGGCGUAAAGGGCGCGUAGGCGGACAGCUUAGUCAGAGGUGAAAGCCCAGGGCUCAACCUUGGAAUUGCCUUUGAUACUGGCUGUCUUGAGUUUGGGAGAGGUGAGUGGAACUCCGAGUGUAGAGGUGAAAUUCGUAGAUAUUCGGAAGAACACCAGUGGCGAAGGCGACUCACUGGCCCAAUACUGACGCUGAGGCGCGAAAGCGUGGGGAGCAAACAGGAUUAGAAACCCUGGUAGUCC
Molecule: ribosomal RNA, 425 nt
Filed under: uncultured bacterium
Lineage: Bacteria
Description: partial 16S ribosomal RNA
Rfam family: Bacterial small subunit ribosomal RNA
Source: RNAcentral